Molecule: unclassified non-coding RNA, 350 nt
Filed under: soil metagenome
Description: partial contains 5.8S ribosomal RNA, internal transcribed spacer 2, and large subunit ribosomal RNA
Rfam family: 5.8S ribosomal RNA (bases 1-120)
Source: RNAcentral
GAUGAAGAACGUAGCGAACUGCGAUAAGUAAUGUGAAUUGCAGAAUUCAGUGAAUCAUCGAGUCUUUGAACGCACAUUGCGCCCCCUGGCAUUCCGGGGGGCAUGCCUGUCCGAGCGUCAUUGCUGCCCUUCAAGCCCGGCUUGUGUGUUGGGUCGUCGUCCCCCCCGGGGGACGGGCCCGAAAGGCAGCGGCGGCACCGCGUCCGGUCCUCGAGCGUAUGGGGCUUUGUCACCCGCUCGAUUAGGGCCGGCCGGGCGCCAGCCGGCGUCUCCAACCUUCUAUUUUACCAGGUUGACCUCGGAUCAGGUAGGGAUAACCGCUGAACUUAAGCAUAUCAAUAAGCGGAGGA